This 67-nucleotide transfer RNA is filed under the name Marmota monax (woodchuck). Its description in RNAcentral is "tRNA.Ala". It matches the Rfam family "tRNA". Rfam says of the family: Transfer RNA (tRNA) molecules are approximately 80 nucleotides in length. Their secondary structure includes four short double-helical elements and three loops (D, anti-codon, and T loops). The record is from RNAcentral. Lineage: Eukaryota; Metazoa; Chordata; Mammalia; Rodentia; Sciuridae.
GGUUGUGGCUCAGUGGUAGAGUGCUCGCCUAGCAUGUGUGAGGCCCUGAGUUUGAUCCUCAGCACCA